RNAcentral lists this ribosomal RNA (671 nucleotides) under Clostridioides difficile. RNAcentral's name for it is "bacterial SSU rRNA". It matches the Rfam family "Bacterial small subunit ribosomal RNA", at positions 1 to 698 of the family's 1533-position model. The record is from RNAcentral. Lineage: Bacteria; Bacillati; Bacillota; Clostridia; Peptostreptococcales; Peptostreptococcaceae.
UUUUAUUUGAGAGUUUGAUCCUGGCUCAGGAUGAACGCUGGCGGCGUGCCUAACACAUGCAAGUUGAGCGAUUUACUUCGGUAAAGAGCGGCGGACGGGUGAGUAACGCGUGGGUAACCUACCCUGUACACACGGAUAACAUACCGAAAGGUAUGCUAAUACGGGAUAAUAUAUUUGAGAGGCAUCUCUUGAAUAUCAAAGGUGAGCCAGUACAGGAUGGACCCGCGUCUGAUUAGCUAGUUGGUAAGGUAACGGCUUACCAAGGCGACGAUCAGUAGCCGACCUGAGAGGGUGAUCGGCCACAUUGGAACUGAGACACGGUCCAAACUCCUACGGGAGGCAGCAGUGGGGAAUAUUGCACAAUGGGCGAAAGCCUGAUGCAGCAACGCCGCGUGAGUGAUGAAGGCCUUCGGGUCGUAAAACUCUGUCCUCAAGGAAGAUAAUGACGGUACUUGAGGAGGAAGCCCCGGCUAACUACGUGCCAGCAGCCGCGGUAAUACGUAGGGGGCUAGCGUUAUCCGGAUUUACUGGGCGUAAAGGGUGCGUAGGCGGUCUUUCAAGUCAGGAGUGAAAGGCUACGGCUCAACCGUAGUAAGCUCUUGAAACUGGGAGACUUGAGUGCAGGAGAGGAGAGUGGAAUUCCUAGUGUAGCGGUGAAAUGCGUAGAUAUU